GAAGGGGAGAAGGNGGCGUGCCUAAUACAUGCAAGUCGAGCGAAUCGAUGUGACCUUGCUCCCUGAGAAUAGCGGCGGACGGGUGAGUAACACGUGGGUAACCUACCUGUAAGACUGGGAUAACUUCGGGAAACCGGAGCUAAUACCGGAUACUUUCUUUUCUCGCAUGAGGGAAGAUGGAAAGAUGGCUUUGCUAUCACUUACAGAUGGACCCGCGGCGCAUUAGCUAGUUGAUGAGGUAACGGCUCACCAAGGCAACGAUGCGUAGCCGACCUGAGAGGGUGAUCGGCCACACUGGGACUGAGACACGGCCCAGACUCCUACGGGAGGCAGCAGUG
This 338-nucleotide small RNA is filed under the name uncultured bacterium. RNAcentral describes it as "bacterial SSU rRNA". It matches the Rfam family "Bacterial small subunit ribosomal RNA", at positions 38 to 356 of the family's 1533-position model. The record is from RNAcentral.